Molecule: transfer RNA, 70 nt
Filed under: Glossotermes oculatus
Lineage: Eukaryota; Metazoa; Arthropoda; Insecta; Blattodea; Rhinotermitidae
Description: tRNA-Ala
Source: RNAcentral
AGGGCUAUAGUUAACCAUAACAUUUGAAUUGCAUACAAAAAGUACUGCAACACCACCGCAGUUAGCCUUA